RNAcentral lists this ribosomal RNA (255 nucleotides) under uncultured bacterium. RNAcentral's name for it is "partial 16S ribosomal RNA". It matches the Rfam family "Bacterial small subunit ribosomal RNA", at positions 99 to 354 of the family's 1533-position model. The record is from RNAcentral.
CGGACGGGUGAGUAACGCGUGGGUAACCUGGCCCAUACAGGGGGAUAACACUUAGAAAUAGGUGCUAAUACCGCAUAAGCGCACAGCUUCGCAUGAAGCAGUGUGAAAAACUCCGGUGGUAUACGAUGGAUCCGCGUCUGAUUAGCUGGUUGGCGGGGUAACAGCCCACCAAGGCGACGAUCAGUAGCCGGCCUGAGAGGGUGAACGGCCACAUUGGGACUGAGGCACGGCCCAAACUCCUACGGAAGGCAGCAG